This 254-nucleotide ribosomal RNA is filed under the name uncultured bacterium. Its description in RNAcentral is "partial 16S ribosomal RNA". It matches the Rfam family "Bacterial small subunit ribosomal RNA", at positions 524 to 776 of the family's 1533-position model. The record is from RNAcentral.
UACGUAGGGGCCAAGCGUUGUCCGGAUUUAUUGGGCGUAAAGAGCUCGUAGGCGGUGUGUCGCGUCGGCCGUGAAAACCUGCAGCUUAACUGUGGGCUUGCGGUCGAUACGGGCAUCACUGGAGUUCGGCAGGGGAGACUGGAAUUCCUGGUGUAGCGGUGAAAUGCGCAGAUAUCAGGAGGAACACCGGUGGCGAAGGCGGGUCUCUGGGCCGAUACUGACGCUGAGGAGCGAAAGCGUGGGGAGCGAACAGG